CCUACGGGUGGCUGCAGUCGAGAAUCAUUCACAAUGGGGGAAACCCUGAUGGUGCGACGCCGCGUGGGGGAAUGAAGGUCUUCGGAUUGUAAACCCCUGUCAUGUGGGAGCAAAUUAAAAAGAUAGUACCACAAGAGGAAGAGACGGCUAACGCUGUGCCAGCAGCCGCGGUAAUACAGAGGUCUCAAGCGUUGUUCGGAAUCACUGGGCGUAAAGCGUGCGUAGGCUGUUUCGUAAGUCGUGGGUGAAAGGCGCGGGCUCAACCCGCGGACGGCACAUGAUACUGCGAGACUAGAGUAAGGGAGGGGGAACCGGAAUUCUCGGUGUAGCAGUGAACUGCGUAGAUAUCGAGAGGAACACUCGUGGCGAAGGCGGGUUCCUGGACAUUAACUGACGCUGAGGCACGAAGGCCAGGGGAGCGAAAGGGAUUAGAUACCCGGGUAGUC
This 446-nucleotide ribosomal RNA is filed under the name uncultured bacterium. RNAcentral's name for it is "partial 16S ribosomal RNA". It matches the Rfam family "Bacterial small subunit ribosomal RNA", at positions 338 to 795 of the family's 1533-position model. The record is from RNAcentral.